RNAcentral lists this transfer RNA (71 nucleotides) under Bos taurus (domestic cattle). It matches the Rfam family "tRNA". Rfam says of the family: Transfer RNA (tRNA) molecules are approximately 80 nucleotides in length. Their secondary structure includes four short double-helical elements and three loops (D, anti-codon, and T loops). Lineage: Eukaryota; Metazoa; Chordata; Mammalia; Artiodactyla; Bovidae. RNAcentral also lists the same sequence under 1 other name. The record is from Rfam by way of RNAcentral.
UCCCAGGUGGCUCAGAGGUAAAGGAUCUGGCUGGUGAGCAGGAGAUGCAGGUUUGAUUCCUGGAUUGGGAA